Haplochromis burtoni (Burton's mouthbrooder) is the source of this 1144-nucleotide RNA transcript. RefSeq lists it as uncharacterized. NCBI's taxonomy places the organism in Eukaryota, Metazoa, Chordata, Actinopteri, Cichliformes, Cichlidae. The record is from RefSeq and is a predicted model, not a curated record. The transcript has 3 exons.
AUGGCGCACUCUGGCGGACAAGUCAGAGAAGACCUGAUCGUCGACGCGCUGUCGUGUUUUAGCUGUUUAUUUAUUUUAAUUUUUUAAAUAAAUGGCUUUUAGAAUACUUUCCAGAGUCUGUACACUGAGUCACGGACUGAAAUCCUCUCAGACCGCCUUCAGUACGUUAAGCUCCGCCGGCAGUUUAAAGGUUGAACAUGACCGACGUAACCAGCGCUUCACGGUCACCGCAGGCAGCAGUACUGCGGACCAUGAAUGUGGGGUGCUGAAAUACAGAUUCACUGGGGAGAAGGAGGUGGACCUGAUGUCUACCUUCGUACCCGAGACAUACAGGGGCCAUGGUGUUGCAGCUCUGCUGUCGAGGGCUGCGCUGGACUUUGUGGUUGAAGAGAACUUAAAGGCUCAUGUCUCCUGCUUGUACAUAAAGAAGUAUGUUGAAGAACAACCAGAGCAGAGAUAUAAAGAGUUUGUCAUCACUUGACUGCAGCUUCUAUGGCACCUACAUGCUGUAUGUCUGUGAAGGUUCUCAGUCAUCCAGGUCUUCAUAGUUUAAGGAGUCCAGACGCUUUUCUUUCCAAGCUCCUUAGACUACAUACUGUAAUUCUACCUCUAAUUAACUACACUCGCACAGUGUGCAAUGUACAAGUGAGAAAUCUCACAUCAAUGUAAUUCAAUGUACAUUUAAACAAUUUUAAAUGUAAUGUGGACUAUAUUUGGAUAAAAUAACCAAAAAUAUAAUUAAACCAAUGGGUUGAAGGUGAUAUUUGUAUUAUAAUAAGAACAGUUUAACAGAUAAACUGUGAUUCUUUUAAAAAUAUCAGACUGUGUGCAUGCAUGACUGAAUUUUCUACCAAUAAAAUUCAUUAAAAUGUAAUUAAAAACCUUUGUUAUACUAUACAAGCGUAUCACUAUAUUAUACAUGCAGAAUUAUGUAGUUGAUAUGUAGAGUAAAUAAUACAACUGCUAUGUUAUUUUUAUAUUAAAAAGCUUACAUAAAGGGACAUCUGCUCAUUUCCACAUGUAUAUUUAUUCCUGGACCCCACUAGAGUAGCUUUGCAUGAGUCACAGUUCAAAAUAAGUUUUAUUUAUCUCGUACUAGGCUUUGGUGUGACCCCUGACUUCAUGCUCUGUUUGAAAGAAGCUU